RNAcentral lists this ribosomal RNA (252 nucleotides) under uncultured bacterium. Its description in RNAcentral is "partial 16S ribosomal RNA". It matches the Rfam family "Bacterial small subunit ribosomal RNA", at positions 524 to 775 of the family's 1533-position model. The record is from RNAcentral.
UACGAAGGGGGCUAGCGUUGCUCGGAAUCACUGGGCGUAAAGCGCACGUAGGCGGAUUGCUAAGUCAGGGGUGAAAUCCUGGAGCUCAACUCCAGAACUGCCUUUGAUACUGGCGAUCUCGAGUCCGGGAGAGGUGAGUGGAACUGCGAGUGUAGAGGUGAAAUUCGUAGAUAUUCGCAAGAACACCAGUGGCGAAGGCGGCUCACUGGCCCGGUACUGACGCUGAGGUGCGAAAGCGUGGGGAGCAACAGG